AUUACAAAAAUGAAAAACACACACUGAAAAUUGAAAAUUACACACUGAGAAUUGAAAAUUACACACUGAGAUUUCAAAAAGACACACUGAGAAUAAAUAAACUGAAAAUACACACUGAGAAUUUGAAAUAACACACUGAGAAUUUAAAUUUACACACUGAGAUUUGUGCGCACUUUUUAUGCGCACAUAUCUAAUUAGCAUACUUAAUCUGAAUCUAUUACAAGCUUAACAGAACUAGGGGAUAGAACUCGUAAGUCCUUCGAUUUGGUUCCAAAUUAUUUAUAAAAAAACCUUUAGAAAUACAAGAACAAAAA
Molecule: long non-coding RNA, 314 nt
Filed under: Mytilus galloprovincialis (Mediterranean mussel)
Lineage: Eukaryota; Metazoa; Mollusca; Bivalvia; Mytilida; Mytilidae
Source: RNAcentral